GCCUUCGUGGUGUAGUGGUCAGCAUCAUCGGUGAGUAUUCGAGAGGUCCGUGGUUCGAGUCCCGGCGAGAGCA
Molecule: non-coding RNA, 73 nt
Organism: Stegodyphus mimosarum
Lineage: Eukaryota; Metazoa; Arthropoda; Arachnida; Araneae; Eresidae
Source: Rfam